Mya arenaria is the source of this 1108-nucleotide RNA transcript. RefSeq lists it as uncharacterized. The record is from RefSeq and is a predicted model, not a curated record. NCBI's taxonomy places the organism in Eukaryota, Metazoa, Mollusca, Bivalvia, Myida, Myidae. The transcript is spliced from 5 exons.
CGUUCGUUUAUCUUCAUUGUUAUCGCAGUCAAUUCCGAAGCAAAAAAAAUGGGAUAUAAAUUUUUCAUUUUUAAAGCUGUUUACAUUUUAUUAUUGCUACCUUGUCUUAAUUGUAAAGACUGUAGGGAUCAUAAUCAUGAGAAACGGAACAAGCAGGAAUGGGUGUUAUCGUUAAUAUGACCUUAAAGGGAAAUAUGACUUAAUACUUUGCAUCGACUACAAUCAAAUGGCAUCUCGUGACAUGGAAAGAAGAGCUUAAAUAUUUUCAACGUUAUCAACAGGUUUUUGUAUGACAUUUAUAAUUUGCCUCAACUUCAAACAGAAAAACGCUAAUCUCAGUGUCAAACGCUUAUAAGUAUGUGGGAAAUUGCAGCUCUUAAAUCCUGGACAAAUCAAUCAAGGUGACGAUGUGCGACUGGAGUUCACAAAUAAUUACUUAAGUCAUGACACAAGUUCAUUCAGAUGGUGGAAAUAUAUCCAUGUAGGGACUAUUAGCAUUAAUACCACCUUGCAGCGUUUUCAAAUUGAUGUUCAACAAGCCAGUGUCACAUUGACAAUACAUAACGUCACAGCUGAGGAUAGCGGUCGUUACACAGUGGAUUUAGGACACAACGAGUGUUCACCUCCGUCGAGUAUUUUAGUUACAGUGAAAGAGCCAAAGGUCCAUUCCAUAAUUCCCAAAUUCACUCACAUCGUUACUAUCCCAGAGUUGGAUUGUGAACAAUGCCUGGUGGGUACGGUUGGCGUCUACGACAACGUGGAAUGUAUAGUGACUAAAAUCAGCGAGAAAAACAUGAACAUGGAGUUGAAUCUGAAGAAAAAUGGUCAAGAUGUACCCAAUGUGACUGUGGAAGGUUCUCCUUUUUAUCGGGCAUUUUAUGCAUACACGCCGAGUGAAGAAGAUACAGACCACACCGUUACUUGCGAGGCCUCUAGAGAUGGCCAACAAGCAGUUACAGUAUCAAUCACUCUUCUCGUUCUGCGUAAGUUGUAUGAAUUUAAUAAUGUUUUUAACAUACGCAGUAUGUGAGAAAAAAACCCGGAGAAACAGAAACAGUGCAAUGUAUAACAUUUAUGCAUACAUUCCGAGUGAAGAAGAUAAAGAUCA